This 254-nucleotide ribosomal RNA is filed under the name uncultured bacterium. RNAcentral describes it as "partial 16S ribosomal RNA". It matches the Rfam family "Bacterial small subunit ribosomal RNA", at positions 524 to 776 of the family's 1533-position model. The record is from RNAcentral.
UACGUAGGGUGCGAGCGUUGUCCGGAAUUAUUGGGCGUAAAGAGCUCGUAGGCGGUCUGUCGCGUCGAUCGUGAAAACUUGGGGCUUAACCCUGAGCUUGCGGUCGAUACGGGCAUGACUGGAGUUCGGCAGGGGAGACUGGAAUUCCUGGUGUAGCGGUGAAAUGCGCAGAUAUCAGGAGGAAGACCGGUGGCGAAGGCGGGUCUCUGGGCCGAUACUGAUGCUGAGGAGCGAAAGCGUGGGGAGCGAACAGG